Molecule: long non-coding RNA, 300 nt
Organism: Sinocyclocheilus anshuiensis
Lineage: Eukaryota; Metazoa; Chordata; Actinopteri; Cypriniformes; Cyprinidae
Exons: 3
Source: RefSeq, a predicted model, not a curated record
GGAAGGUAGUCAUUUUUGAAUGGCAACACACACAGGAAAUCCACUUGAUAAAAGACGGCCACAAAACAGAAAAGCUGGGACAGAAGUACGUCACAGCCACCAUCACACUAGCCUGCCAGACCUCCGGAGUGAAAUUAUCAAGUAACUGUUGAUGCAUGACUUGGUUUCACAUUCCUGGAUUUGACAGGCCAGAAUGUCCACACACUUCCUCUGAAGACGUACCUGCUCUACUAUCUUAAGAGAUUGUGUGAAUUCAUGUGACCCCCAACUAGACACCUGAGCAGCCAGUUCUACCCACAG